CGGAAUCGCUAGUAAUCGCGGAUCAGCAUGCCGCGGUGAAUACGUUCCCGGGCCUUGUACACACCGCCUGUCACACCAUGGGAGUUUGUAACGCCCAAAGUCGGUGGCCUAACCUUUAUGGAGGGAGCCGCCUAAGGCGGGACAGAUGACUGGGGUGAAGUCGUAACAAGGUAAC
This 175-nucleotide ribosomal RNA is filed under the name uncultured bacterium. Its description in RNAcentral is "partial 16S ribosomal RNA". It matches the Rfam family "Bacterial small subunit ribosomal RNA", at positions 1327 to 1500 of the family's 1533-position model. The record is from RNAcentral.